AUUCCGCAAUGGGCGAAAGCCUGACGGAGCAAUACCGCGUGAGGGAUGACGGCCUGUGGGUUGUAAACCUCUUUUCUCAAGGAAGAAGUUCUGACGGUACUUGAGGAAUAAGCAUCGGCUAACUCUGUGCCAGCAGCCGCGGUAAU
Molecule: ribosomal RNA, 146 nt
Filed under: uncultured bacterium
Lineage: Bacteria
Description: partial 16S ribosomal RNA
Rfam family: Bacterial small subunit ribosomal RNA
Source: RNAcentral